This 64-nucleotide transfer RNA is filed under the name Tingis cardui. Its description in RNAcentral is "tRNA-Gly". Lineage: Eukaryota; Metazoa; Arthropoda; Insecta; Hemiptera; Tingidae. The record is from RNAcentral.
AUUCUUUUAGUAUAAAUUAAUAUAUUUAACUUCCAAUUAAAAGAUCUUUAAAUAAGAAAGAAUA